GAUGAAGAAUGUAGCGAAAUGCGAUAAGUAAUGUGAAUUGCAGAAUUCAGUGAAUCAUCGAAUCUUUGAACGCACAUUGCGCCCGCCAGUAUUCUGGCGGGCAUGCCUGUCUGAGCGUCAUUUCAACCCUCAUGCCCCUAGGGCGUGGUGUUGGGGAUCGGCCAAAGCCCGCGAGGGACGGCCGGCCCCUAAAUCUAGUGGCGGACCCGUCGUGGCCUCCUCUGCGAAGUAGUGAUAUUCCGCAUCGGAGAGCGAUGAGCCCCUGCCGUUAAACCCCCAACUUUCCAAGGUUGACCUCAGAUCAGGUAGGAAUACCCGCUGAACUUAAGCAUAUCAAUAAGCGGAGGA
RNAcentral lists this unclassified non-coding RNA (348 nucleotides) under soil metagenome. RNAcentral's name for it is "partial contains 5.8S ribosomal RNA, internal transcribed spacer 2, and large subunit ribosomal RNA". The stretch from base 1 to 120 matches the Rfam family "5.8S ribosomal RNA", at positions 35 to 154 of the family's 154-position model. The record is from RNAcentral.